RNAcentral lists this ribosomal RNA (808 nucleotides) under Engystomops petersi (Peters' dwarf frog). Its description in RNAcentral is "partial 16S ribosomal RNA". The stretch from base 246 to 362 matches the Rfam family "Bacterial large subunit ribosomal RNA", at positions 714 to 852 of the family's 2925-position model. The record is from RNAcentral. Lineage: Eukaryota; Metazoa; Chordata; Amphibia; Anura; Leptodactylidae.
GCUAAAAACUUAGCCUUANUUCUACAAUUAUACUUACCAUAUUUUACUUACACAAAAUAAAACAUUCUUUAAGCUUAGUAAAGGAGAUAAAAAAGUUUUUUAGAGCUAUAAAAUAAGUACCGCAAGGGAAUAAUGAAAUAAAAAUGAAACAAAAUUCAAGCAUAACAAAGUAGAGCUUUUCCCUCGUACCUUUUGCAUCAUGAUUCAACUAGUUUAACCACGCAAAAAGAGUUUAAGUUUGACUUCCCGAAACUAAGUGAGCUACUUCAGGGCAGCUAAAUGAGCCAACCCGUCUCUGUUGCAAAAGAGUGGGAUGACCCUUAAGUAGAGGUGAUAAGCCUAACGAACUUAGUGAUAGCUGGUUAUUCAGGAAAAGAAUUUUAGUUCAACUUAAAAUUACAUAAAUAAAAUAAAAUAAAAUUUUAAUUUUAAAGCAAUUCAAAUAAGGUACAGCCUAUUUGAAAUAGAAUACAAUCUAAACUAUAGGGUAAAUAUNNAAAAUUAAUGUAAUAAAGUAGGCCUAAAAGCAGCCAACUUUAAAAUAGCGUCAAAGCUUACUUCCAUAAAUUUUUAAUACCAUUAUUUACAAUGAACCCUUUAUUUUCACUGAAUAUUUCUAUAAAAUUAUAGAACCUUUUAUGUUGAAACUAGUAACAAGAAGUUAAACUUCUCCUCAAUGUAAGUAUAAGUCAACUAGGAUGAACCAUCGACAAUUAACACUAAAAUUAAAUGUAUUAACUCCACAAGAAAAACUUACAUUAUCCAAUGUUAAUCUUACACCAGAACAUUUAAGGAAAGAUUNAAAAAA